Molecule: ribosomal RNA, 491 nt
Filed under: uncultured bacterium
Lineage: Bacteria
Description: partial 16S ribosomal RNA
Rfam family: Bacterial small subunit ribosomal RNA
Source: RNAcentral
UGGGGAAUAUUGCACAAUGGGCGAAAGCCUGAUGCAGCAACGCCGCGUGCGGGAUGACGGCCUUCGGGUUGUAAACCGCUUUCAGCAGGGACGAAGGUUUUCUGACGGUACCUGCAGAAGAAGCACCGGCUAACUACGUGCCAGCAGCCGCGGUGAUACGUAGGGUGCGAGCGUUGUCCGGAAUUAUUGGGCGUAAAGAGCUUGUAGGCGGUCCGUUGCGUCGGAAGUGAAAACUCAGGGCUUAACCCUGAGCCUGCUUUCGAUACGGGCGGACUUGAGGGAUGUAGGGGAGAACGGAAUUCCUGGUGGAGCGGUGGAAUGCGCAGAUAUCAGGAGGAACACCAGUGGCGAAGGCGGUUCUCUGGACAUUUCCUGACGCUGAGAAGCGAAAGCGUGGGGAGCAAACAGGCUUAGAUACCCUGGUAGUCGACGCCGUAAACGGUGGCACUAGGUGUGGGACCCAUUCCACGGGUUCCGUGCCGUAGCUAAAC